RNAcentral lists this long non-coding RNA (223 nucleotides) under Pelobates cultripes (western spadefoot toad). Lineage: Eukaryota; Metazoa; Chordata; Amphibia; Anura; Pelobatidae. The record is from RNAcentral.
UGAACAUGAGGCUUGAAGGAGGGGUCGGAGUCAAAGAGAACACCUAGGCAGCGAUCCUGCGUGGUGGAGCUGAUGGUAGCACCGUUGACUUGGAGGGAGACAGACACAGGAGUAUCAACACUUGAGGGAGGAAAGACCAGAAUUUCAGUUUUGGUCAAGUUUAGUUUAAGAAAGUGGGCAGCCAUCCAGUUAGAAAUAGCAGAGAGGCAGUCAGAGACACUAG